RNAcentral lists this ribosomal RNA (481 nucleotides) under uncultured bacterium. Its description in RNAcentral is "bacterial SSU rRNA". It matches the Rfam family "Bacterial small subunit ribosomal RNA", at positions 8 to 502 of the family's 1533-position model. The record is from RNAcentral.
AGAGUUUGAUCCUGGCUCAGAGUGAACGCUGGCGGCGUGCUUAACACAUGCAAGUCGAACGGUAACAGAGAAGAGCUUGCUCUUCUGCUGACGAGUGGCGCACGGGUGAGUAAUAUAUAGUUAAUGUGCCUCGAAGACUGGGAUAGCCAUUGGAAACGAUGAUUAAUACUGGAUACUCCUUCUAAACUUAAGUUUAGUCGGGAAACGUUUUUUCGCUUCGAGAUCAGACUAUAUCCCAUCAGUUUGUUGGUGAGGUAAGAGCUCACCAAGGCAAUGACGGGUAGCGGGUUUGAGAGGAUGAUCCGCCACACUGGUACUGAGACACGGACCAGACUCCUACGGGAGGCAGCAGUGAGGAAUAUUGCACAAUGGGCGAAAGCCUGAUGCAGCAACGCCGCGUGGAGGAUGACGCAUUUCGGUGUGUAAACUCCUUUUAUGAGUCAAGAAAAUGACGGUAGCUCAUGAAUAAGCACCGCUAACU